GCCGAGCAUGAGCCGCCGCCGGCGCGGGCAGCGCGCUGCUUGGGGCCCGACUGCUGCGCGGGGGCUGCGCGGGAGCUACGCCGGCCGGGACCGAGAAACCCAGGCUUGGAGGCCAGAACUUCUCCUACCUAGGAUUUCCUGAAGACUGGGUCUGUGUUCCAGCCCCUUCCAGCUGUGGACUGUGAACAUUUGGGUUCCCUUCCUCCUCUGAGGCUAUGGUCUUGAUUACACGCGAUUUUAUUUAUUCAUGAGAGACACAAAGAGAGAGGCAGAGACAUAGGCAGAGCGAGAAG
Long non-coding RNA from Canis lupus familiaris (dog), 293 nucleotides. RefSeq lists it as uncharacterized. The record is from RefSeq and is a predicted model, not a curated record. Lineage: Eukaryota; Metazoa; Chordata; Mammalia; Carnivora; Canidae. The transcript is spliced from 3 exons.